AUGCACGUGGAGAGCCAGAGGGUCUGCAACUCACUGAGGCACUGCAGAGCCCCCUGCCCAGCCAUGUGCCCCUCGAGGGGCCGGGCGCUCCUGCUGGACACCAGCACAUCCCGCUGGGACCCCACGGCCGGCGCCAGCCCCGAACGCCAGAGCAUUUCCAGCCCCUCUGGGCCAUUGUCCAGCCGGAUGGGGGGAGAGGUGGGCCCCUCUUCCUCUGGCCGCAGCGCAGGGCCGGGCCCUUUCCCAGCCGCUAAAAAUACCCCCGAGGAGAGGAGAGGAGAGGAGCUCCACACCAGCCUGCAGCCUCUACUGCUGCUUUGGGAUGCAGUAAUUAUAUGUGUGUGGAGCAGCUCAGUUUGGGCACUGCUAAGAAUAGCCGCCCCGAGCUGGGCACAGAGAACCGGACAGCAGCUUUCCAUACCCCACUGGGGGCUGAGGCUUCCCAGCAACCAAACCCCCCCCGGAGACAGAGCAUCUUCAGGGACCCCCUCUCAGCCCAGCAUCACUCUUCUCCAAGUAUACAACCCCGUAGCGGGGAAACGAUGCCCAGGGACCCCACACACCUACCGCCUGCUCCCGGCAGGACCGCAGGCUGGAGCUGAGCUUCUCUCCAUCCUCGCGCACCCGGCGGAGCUCCCGGCGCAGCGCAUCCUCCUCCCUCUCCCUCUCAUCAGCCAUGCGCUGCAGGCGGUCUCGCUCCUUCUCCAGCUGCGCCACGCGCAGUUCCAGCGCACGGCUCUCAUUGGCCGCCCGCUCCCGGCAGCCCCGCAGCUUCCCCAGCGCCUCCGAGCGCCACAGCAGCACCGCCACCGCCGCUGUCACCGCCGCCACCAGCAGCACCAGCAGCGUGCACAGCCCCAUUGCCUUCAGCGUGGCUCUGGGCACCGCGGGGUCCAUGCUGGGGACGUGGGACGGCGCCGCCCGGUGCCACGCAGUGUGCCCGGUUGCUCCGGGCGGUGGUUUCUCUCCGGUCACAGCCCACGGCGGUGUGGUUUGUGCUGUGCGUGGGAGGAUGGCCAGCCCCUGGACAAAGCCACCCUGCGGGGCUGUGCCGUCCGCCACCCCAAAGGGCACCGGAGCAGCAGAACGCUUUGGAUUUACAUGAAGUUUUAUUAG
RNAcentral lists this long non-coding RNA (1116 nucleotides) under Pavo cristatus (Indian peafowl). Its description in RNAcentral is "lncRNA (ENSPSTG00000017508.1)". The record is from RNAcentral. Lineage: Eukaryota; Metazoa; Chordata; Aves; Galliformes; Phasianidae.